Molecule: ribosomal RNA, 428 nt
Filed under: uncultured Myxococcales bacterium
Lineage: Bacteria; Pseudomonadati; Myxococcota; Myxococcia; Myxococcales
Description: bacterial SSU rRNA
Rfam family: Bacterial small subunit ribosomal RNA
Source: RNAcentral
UGGGGAAUCUUGCACAAUGGGCGAAAGCCUGAUGCAGCGACGCCGCGUGAGCGAUGAAGGCCUUCGGGUUGUAAAGCUCUGUGGGGAGAGACGAAUAAGGUCUGGCUAAUAUCCAGAUUGAUGACGGUAUCUCCUUAGCAAGCACCGGCUAACUCUGUGCCAGCAGCCGCGGUAAGACAGAGGGUGCAAACGUUGUUCGGAAUUACUGGGCGUAAAGCGCGUGUAGGCGGUUAUGUAAGUCGGACGUGAAAUCCCAUGGCUCAACCGUGGAAGAGCGCUCGAAACUGCGUGACUUGAGUACUGGAGAGGAAGGCGGAAUACCUGGUGUAGAGGUGAAAUUCGUAGAUAUCAGGUAGAACAUCAGUGGCGAAGGCGGCCUUCUGGACAGUAACUGACGCUGAGACGCGAAAGCGUGGGGAGCAAACAGG